Molecule: ribosomal RNA, 429 nt
Filed under: Chloroflexota bacterium
Lineage: Bacteria; Bacillati; Chloroflexota
Description: Chloroflexi bacterium partial 16S ribosomal RNA
Rfam family: Bacterial small subunit ribosomal RNA
Source: RNAcentral
UGGGGAAUAUUGCACAAUGGGCGCAAGCCUGAUGCAGCCAUGCCGCGUGUAUGCAGAAGGCCUUCGGGUUGUAAAGUACUUUCAGCGGGGAGGAAGGGAGUAAAGUUAAUACCUUUGCUCAUUGACGUUACCCGCAGAAGAAGCACCGGCUAACUCCGUGCCAGCAGCCGCGGUAAUACGGAGGGUGCAAGCGUUAAUCGGAAUUACUGGGCGUAAUUCGCACGCAGGCGGUUUGUUAAGUCAGAUGUGAAAUCCCCGGGCUCAACCUGGGAACUGCAUCUGAUACUGGCAAGCUUGAGUCUCGUAGAGGGGGGUAGAAUUCCAGGUGUAGCGGUGAAAUGCGUAGAGAUCUGGAUGAAUACCGGUGGCGAAGGCGGCCCCCUGGACGAAGACUGACGCUCAGGUGCGAAAGCGUGGGGAGCAAACAGG